This 253-nucleotide ribosomal RNA is filed under the name uncultured bacterium. Its description in RNAcentral is "partial 16S ribosomal RNA". It matches the Rfam family "Bacterial small subunit ribosomal RNA", at positions 524 to 776 of the family's 1533-position model. The record is from RNAcentral.
UACGUAGGGUGCAAGCGUUAAUCGGAAUUACUGGGCGUAAAGCGUGCGCAGGCGGUUGUGUAAGACAGAGGUGAAAUCCCCGGGCUCAACCUGGGAACUGCGCUUGUGACUGCAAGGCUAGAGUACGGCAGAGGGGGGUGGAAUUCCACGUGUAGCAGUGAAAUGCGUAGAGAUGCGGAGGAACACCGAUGGCGAAGGCAGCCCCCUGGGAUGACACUGACGCUCAUGCACGAAAGCGUGGGGAGCAAACAGG